GGAGCACCCAGGGUUCAAACCCAGCAGGAAAGAGUUAAAACCGAAGAAAAGCAACAAAAAGGGAAAAGCCAUUCUUGAAACUCCACCAGAUUGCCCUCCACUUGGUCUGGAGACAUUAAAAAUUACUGACUUCCAGCUCCAUGCCUCUACAGCAAAGCGGUAUGGCCUCGGGGCCCACAGAGGAAGGCUCAAUAUUCAGGCAGGUGUUAACGAAAAUGAUUUUUAUGAUGGUGCUUGGUGUGCAGGAAGAAAUGACCCAUAUCAGUGGAUUGAAGUAGAUGCUCGAAGGCUCACAAAAUUCACUGGAGUCAUCACACAAGGAAGAAACUCCCUCUGGUCGUAAGUACAUACUUGCUUUUCUCCAUAAGAUUCUGAGAUUUCGGAGCAAGGA
Molecule: long non-coding RNA, 391 nt
Organism: Mesitornis unicolor (brown roatelo)
Lineage: Eukaryota; Metazoa; Chordata; Aves; Mesitornithiformes; Mesitornithidae
Exons: 3
Source: RefSeq, a predicted model, not a curated record